CUGGCUCAGAUUGAACGCUGGCGGCAUGCCUUACACAUGCAAGUCGAACGGCAGCACGGGAGCAAUCCUGGUGGCGAGUGGCGAACGGGUGAGUAAUAUAUCGGAACGUGCCCAGUCGUGGGGGAUAACGUAGAGAAAUUUACGCUAAUACCGCAUACGAUCUACGGAUGAAAGCGGGGGACUCGCAAGAGCCUCGCGCGACUGGAGCGGCUGAUAUCAGAUUAGGUUGUUGGUGAGGUAAAAGCUCACCAAGCCGACGAUCUGUAGCUGGUUUGAGAGAACGACCAGCCACACUGGGACUGAGACACGGCCCAGACUCCUACGGGAGGCAGCAGUGGGGAAUUUUGGACAAUGGGCGCAAGCCUGAUCCAGCAAUGCCGCGUGCAGGAAGAAGGCCUUCGGGUUGUAAACUGCUUUUGUACGGAACGAAAAGGUCCUUUCUAAUACAAGGGGCUAAUGACGGUACCGUAAGAAUAAGCACCGGCUAACUACGUGCCAGCAGCCGCGGUAAUACGUAGGGUGCGAGCGUUAAUCGGAAUUACUGGGCGUAAAGCGUGCGCAGGCGGUUAUGUAAGACAGUUGUGAAAUCCCCGGGCUCAACCUGGGAAUUGC
This 612-nucleotide ribosomal RNA is filed under the name uncultured Herbaspirillum sp. RNAcentral describes it as "bacterial SSU rRNA". It matches the Rfam family "Bacterial small subunit ribosomal RNA", at positions 19 to 624 of the family's 1533-position model. Lineage: Bacteria; Pseudomonadati; Pseudomonadota; Betaproteobacteria; Burkholderiales; Oxalobacteraceae. The record is from RNAcentral.